UUUGGGGAAAAUAAAAUAGACCAGAAAGGGAGGAUGAUUGCAGAACAUCCAUGGCAACAUCCUCACACGCUCCGGAAAUUCAUAUUUAUUGUGUUUGUCUGCUGAUAGGCAUGGUUAAGCAUAGAGGGUUCAGACCCAUUAGGGAAUCGCAAUAUCCAUGUCAUUUGUUAAAUGUGCAGAUUUGUCGAUCUAAAAAAUUUGUCAGAACGCAUAGAGUCAAUUAAGAUCAUCAACAAUGCAACAAAUGAGGAGUUCUAAUUCAGAAGAGGUUCAAACCCUUGAGACAAAAUGACUUUGAGCUGAUCUUUUCUAAAGAGAGAGAGAGAGAGAAAAGGAGAUGGGUUGCAAUAGAGGAGAGAUUGGUGAAAAAACAGCAUGAACUGAAUAAACAUGCUAUGAAGUGGAUCUUCCUGUCUUUCCCAAGGACAUUCGGAGUCCUGACUGAGCCCAAUCCCCCAUUCGCUAUCAGAGUUGGACUCAUCAUGAGAUUGCUGUUCUACAUCUUUGCUCCCAUCUCUUGCACACUUGCCCACCUGCCAAUGCGGGUGUAUUUGUUUAUAACACAAGUUGGAGGCAUCCAUGACAUGUUUUCCGAAGUGUGUCGUAUAAUCUAGGUGAUCGUCGAGCUCCCCUACAAAACCUAUUAACCUAACUUUACAUAUAUCUCACAUUGCAUGGCCCCGCCUUCUUUAUCUCAUAAAUCUGACCUGCUUAUCCACACAUCCAGAACUCUACAGCUUUGAAUGUUGAUUGUAACAUCAUUGGACUUCUAAACAAUGCUUAUUUUAGUAAGUGUUUAUAGAACAAUCUGUAAAUCUUACAUUAAAAGACACCAAGAAUUCUUGACUUUGUUUCGUUUAAUGCCUGCACCUUUAUGGUCAAAAUACCCAUCAAUCCCUGCCAACAUUCACAUUUUGACUACCUAAGCAACAAAGUCAAACACCCAUUAUUGAAUGAUGCCUAGACAUUUGUACCUUCAAUACAUGGACAGCAUAAAAUGACAAACUAUUGCUUCUAGAGUCAAAAGGUUACCUUGGUUGUACUUAUUUAUUGUCUCAAGGGGCUCUAACAACGUCACUAGUUUGAGCACACUCCCAACUUCACAGUCACAAGAUGCCUUCACUUGCAACUUUUAAAGCACACUGUUCAAAGUUUACCAGCAUAAGCUGCCUCCUCUCCUCUUAUGGAGAUUUUUAAUUGGGCAUUGGUGAUGUAAUGUGCCUCAUAAUAAGCCCAUUAAGCUGUCUUUUUUUCUUGCAUAGAUAGAGAGCGUUGUGGCAGUGUGGACACCUCUGCUAUUUAUACUGCUCAAAUCCUCAUGAAUAUUUACACCGAACAGAAAUGGCAAAGAGAGUAGGCAGACACCCUGACAAAUAGCUCUCAUGGGGAGGAUUUCACUCUUCCAGGAGACACACUUGCACUGGAACUUAUUUUCUAUCAGGACUGCACCUCUCCACAUGGUUCAGAUACUUGCAGGAAAAGCAAUUAAUUCUUCCAUUACACUUUACUAACUAGGAUGGGAAAAGUAAUGCAUUAGUUAACUAAUUUUACCCUUGAGAAAAUCUUGUAUAUGCAUCUAUCUCAUAUGUGGACCCGAGUGAGACUCAAAUCACAAUUUGAUGACUUGACUUGGUAAAUAUUAGAAUACUUGAGACUUCACUUUGAUUUUGUUGCAAUUACUUAUUACUUGCACUUGAGCUGAUGACUCAAGACAAAUAAUUUUUUGCAGAAAACACAAAUCUUU
This is a long non-coding RNA of Cyprinus carpio carpio, 1744 nucleotides long. NCBI's taxonomy places the organism in Eukaryota, Metazoa, Chordata, Actinopteri, Cypriniformes, Cyprinidae. The record is from Ensembl.